RNAcentral lists this long non-coding RNA (34256 nucleotides) under Zea mays. Its description in RNAcentral is "long non-coding RNA (ZMAY_LNC000629)". The record is from RNAcentral. Lineage: Eukaryota; Viridiplantae; Streptophyta; Magnoliopsida; Poales; Poaceae.
GCUCUAGUAUCUCCGUCAACCUCCCGCCGUGCAGGCCCGGACGUGGGCGGCGGAAUUGGUUUUCUGGGACAGAACCUUGUGUUCGCUGAGCUGGUCUUCCCACGUAGACAAUCUACGUGAUGUGAGUUAUUCGUUGUCUCACUUUAUUUACUGUUUAAUUUUGUGCAAUCUGCUAGUAUUAAAUACUUUGGUGUGAUUGCACUGUUGUGGGCGGAUUUGUGUGCUCGAUGAUGAUAGUGGUGUAGUGAGACAACGUGACAGUCUGGGUUUUAGUGUAUUAUCAUUUUCAGCAUUGAUAUUAUUUGUGCCUAAUUAAAUCUCUCUUUGUUGAGGCUGUUUACCUGUGUUAAAUUCUGUUAUUUUAUUUAGUACACAGCUCCUUACUAUUAGUAUUUAGAUUUGAUUAUUAGGCUUAUUACAUCUGAUCUAAAACCCUGAUUUGGUAAGAUAGGGCUGUCACGUUAGUCGAGGAUCUCUGAUCACCUAUUAGCGUUGGAGGGCUGUUUAUUACAGCAACCCACUAUUUUGAGAGCAAUACUUUAAGAAAAACAACCAUGUUUAUUUGUUUAAUCUGCCUACUUCAUCUGCAAGCCAUGUUUAAUUAUAAAAUGGACCUGAGAUGCUAUUUUACAUGUUUACAUGUUCUAGAAUUGCUACUGUUCAUUGCUGCAAUAAUUAUAUAUGGCAUUUUGUCUGAGUUAUAUGCUUGUUUUAUUCGGAAUUAGAAUAUUUAAUUUAUUUAAAUAUGAAGGAAGCAUGUCACUUAUUUCUCUAAUAUUACAACAAUCCAGAAAACCAAUACGUAUAAUGGUCUACAGUUCUGAUGUCAUUAAGCCUGAAGCGUUCGACGGCGCAAGCUUUAAGCGCUGGCAGAUUAAGACUCGCAUGUGGCUCACUGACCUAAAAUUAUUUUGGGUAGUGACGUCGGCUAUUCCACAGGCUGCAUCAGAUGAUUCUGAUGAUGCAGCGAAGGCCGCCGCACUAGCGGAGAAGGCCAAGUGGGAUGAAGCCAAUGAGGCAUGCUUGUCUCGUCUACUGAACGUCUUGUCGAACCGCUUAUUUGACGUGUACUCUGGUUUUACCUCCGCUAAGGGUCUAUGGACUGAACUUGAGAACGAGUUCUCUGAAGUUGACAAUGGCAAUGAGUCUUUCACAACGGAAAACUACCUCAACUAUAAAAUGGUUGAGGGAAGGUCUGUUAUGGAGCAGCUACAGGAGAUUCAACUCCUUGUUAGGGACUUGGUCCAAUAUGGCUGCGUCCUACCAGACAGUUUUCAGGUGAAUGCAAUACUGGCAAAGCUCCCGCCUUCUUGGCGAGACUUUGUGACUUCACGCCGCCACAUGAAGAAGCAAAUGACUCUCACUGAGUUGUCAGCUGCGAUUAAUGUGGAAGAGCGUGCAAGGUCCAGUAACAAGCCAUCUCAGCAACUCUAGGCUCACGUUGUUGAGAAGGGUGGAGAUAGAAAAUUCCAGAAGAAGAAGAAGAACUCUCCACAGAAGAAUAUGAACCAACCUAAGUCCAAAAAGAUGAAGAAGAAAAAGGAGGACUUUAUGUGCUACGUUUGUGGUGUCUCCGGGCAUACAGCUCGGAGGUGCAAACUUAGGAAGGGAAAAGGUCCUCCACCUCAACGCAAAGAAGGGAACGUGGUGGUUAACUCCACCCUAGGGUAUGCACUUCAGGCCUUUAUGGCAAGUCCAUCAGAUGAUUGGUGGAUGGAUUCCGGUGCUACUGUUCAUAUUUGUGCUGAUCGAUCCAUGUUCUCUUCAUUCCAGGGAUACAACAGCGCAUCAGUCUUGAUGGGAAAUGGUGUUCCGGCAACAGUUCGAGGUACUGGACAGGUCUACCUGAAGUUAACUUCAGGAAAGACGCUCGUUCUGAAGGACGUACUCUAUGUGCCAUCGAUGAGCCGGAACCUCAUAUCAGUGUCGCUGCUAUGUCGACAGGGUCUCAAAUUAGUGUUUGAGUCUAAUAAAGUGGUCCUGUCUAAGUUUGGUACUUUUGUUGGAAAGUCAUAUGAGUCAGGUGGUUUGUUCCGUCUUUCUGUUUUGAAUAAUCAUUCUUCUUACCAUGUUAAUGUGGUCUGUAAUAACGAUUCCAUUAAUAAUAUAUGGCAUUCCCGUUUGUGUCAUGUGAAUUUUGAGGCCAUUAAGAGAUUAAGUGACAUGUCUUUAAUUCCUGAAUAUAAACAUGUUAAAGGUGUAAAAUGUGGUAUUUGUGUGCAAGCUAAGCAGCCUAGAAAACUGUUUCAUACGGUUGAAGGCAGAAGUACCACUCCUUUAGAACUAAUUCACUCAGAUAUCUGUGAGAUGAAUGGUAUAAUCACAAAAGGCGGUAAAAGAUACUUUCUUACCUUGAUAGAUGAUGCUACCAGGUUCUGUUAUAUUUACUUACUCAGAACUAAAGAUGAGGCACUAGAACACUUUAAGAUCUAUAAGACUGAAGUUGAAAACCAGCUAGACAAGAAAAUUAAAAGGUUACGGUCUGAUAGAGGAGGUGAAUACCUUUCCAACCUUUUUUAUGAGUACUGCAAAGAGUGUGGAAUCAUUCAUGAAACCACUGCUCCAUAUUCACCUCAGUCAAAUGGGGUAGCUGAAAGGAAGAACCGAACAAUGUGUGACUUAGCAAAUGCUUUGUUGCAAAGGUUCGGGGAUGCCUGACAUCUGGUGGGGCGAGGCAGUACUCACGGUGUGCUAUGUCCUGAACAGGGUGCCGCCUCGCAACCGUGAGGCCACGCCCUAUGAAGGAUUUAAAGGAAGGAAGCCAGAUCUUUCGCAUCUUCGAACUUGGGGCUGCCUUGCAAAGGUGAAUGUCCCAUUGCCGAAGAAGAGAAAGCUAGGCCCUAAGACCAUAGACUGUGUCUUCCUGGGUUAUGCACAUAACAGUGCAGCUUAUAGAUUUCUAGUGGUCCACUCCGAGACAAGCGAAAUCGUUGUAAAUGUAGUAAUGGAGUCUCGGGAUGUGACAUUCUUUGAGAGCAUCUUCCCUAUGCGGGAUAAGGAAGUAGUAGCCCCAGAUGGUCCAUCUCGGACAUAUUCUCUGCCCUCGAGUGUCCAUGACCAGACUCCAGAUUUGGAGUUAAGGAGGAGUAAGAGACAAAGGACUGAAAAGUCUCUGGGUGAUGAUUAUAUUAUCUAUCUAGUGGAUGAAGAAUCACGCUCCCUCACAGAGGCAUAUACAUCUCUGGAUGCAGAGUACUGGAGGGAGGCUGUCCGUAGCGAGAUGGAUUCAAUCAUCUCGAACGGAACUUGGGAGAUAACUGAUCUCCCAGUUGGUUGCAAGCCUGUGGGCUGUAAAUGGAUCUUUAGGAGGAAGAGGAGACCCGAUGGUACUAUUGAAAAGUACAAGGCCUGUCUUGUGGCUAAGGGUUUUACUCAAAAGAAAGAGGAGGAUUAUUUUGAUACUUAUUCUCUGGUGGCUCGAUUGCCCACAAUCUGUGUGCUUUUAGCGCUGGCAGCUGCUUAUAAACUUCUUGUUCAUCAAAUGGACGUAAAGACAACAUUCCUAAAUGGAGAGCUGGAAGAGGAAAUUUAUAUGCAGCAACCAGAAGGAUUUGUGGUUAAAGGACAAGAGAGCAAAGUGUGUCGCUUGAUUAAAUCCUUAUAUGGUCUGAAGCAAGCUCCCAGACAAUGGCAUGAGAAGUUUAAUAAUACUCUGACCACUGCCGGGUUUUGUGUAAACGAAGCCGACAAGUGUGUGUAUUAUCGCUUCUCUGGGGGCAAAGGUGUCAUCAUGUGUUUAUACGUUGAUGACAUAUUGAUAUUUGGGACCGAUUUGGAGACUAUCAUGGAGACAAAAUUAUUCCUCUCCAAGAACUUUGAUAUGAAGGACUUGGGUGAAGCUGAUGUUAUACUGAACAUCAAGCUGAUAAAGGGUGAGGAUGGGAUUACUUUGUCACAAUCACAUUAUGUAGAAAAGGUCCUGACUCGCUUUGGACAUAUGGACUGUAAACCAGUCACCACGCCCUAUGAUCCAUCCUACACGCUCAGUAAAUAUGAAGGCGAGCCUGUGAACCAGCUACUAUAUUCGCAGAUCAUCGGAUCUCUCAUGUACCUGAGCAGUGCAACUAGACCAGAUAUCUCAUAUGCAGUAUGCAGACUGGCUCGUUAUUCGGCCAAUCCAAGAGAUAGACACUGGGUAGCCUUGUACAGAGUGCUUCGGUAUUUGAAGGAAGCGAUGAAUCUUGGUAUUAAAUAUACCGGAUUUCCGUCAGUGCUUCAAGGAUUCAGUGAUGCAAACUGGAUCUCUGACUCGGAUCAAAUGAAGUCUACAAGUGGCUAUGUGUUCACUUUAGCUGGUGGGGCCGUGUCAUGGAGAUCGUCUAAACAAUCAGUGUCGACACGUUCCACCAAGGAGGCUGAAUUAGUUGCACUUGAUUCAACAGCAUUGGAGGCUGAAUGGUUGAGAGACCUGCUGUCAGACCUUCCAAUGCUAGCAAAGCCGAUAUCGGCUGUCCUAGUAUACUGUGACAACACUUCUUUGUUGCUAAAAGUGAACAGUAGAAAGGACAACAAAAAAUCCUCGAGGCAUAUCAGAAGACGACUUGAUUCAUGUCGGCAUGCUAGAGAGACGGGUGUAAUAACCGUAGAUUACAUCAAGUCUGAAAGGAACCUUGCUGAUCCUUUCACCAAAGGACUGGCUCAAAAGCCAAUCCAAGCAGCGUGCAUUGGAAUGGGACUCGUACCCUGUUAGCGGUUUCAACUGCGGAUAACUGUCGUGUGUGACCGGAGAUCCCGAGAUCCAGGCUCCAGGAAACGAAGCACUGUGAAACCAAGAGCACAAACGAUAAAGAGUCUCAUGAGCUGCUGUGCUCUGUCUGUAUGGCAGGUUGAGCGAUAUGCUCUUAAUGAAGUCAACGCUACAAGCAGGGAAAUUGUCCUACAGAAUUUCCUUAACGAUUUCACCUAUAUGAGCUGACUGUGGGGUCGCAGUCCAGGAGAGAAUGGGGUUUUCUCUCUAGUGAGCUCAUGAAUAGAUAUUAAAGGGCAUGACCGUAACGCCCUGCCCCGUAAGAGAAUCAGAUAAUCUGCCUAGUACUAUGUGCCUUUUGUGCAAAGAUUCUCACACUAGGGUUUGUGGAUCAAGGCGUAGUCCUCCGCUUACUCGUGCAGGGUUGGAGUACACUAGGAUAGGCUUUGGUUCAAACCUAACAAGUACCUCUGCCAAAAAGUAGUAUAUAAACAGUACGGGAGCUCAAUGACAUUGAUCAGAAAAUAAGAGUGAAAAUGGUGGGGAUUGCUGUUGAAUUUGGGGUUUUCCCCUUAUAUAAAAAAAGUGUGGCCAGCCAACCGGGCCACUACAAGGCCCGGAGGCCGAGCGGCCCAGCCAGCGGACAGCACGGCCUGGGCACUAGUUGCCUCGGUAAGAAACCGCAGAGACGGAAAGGAGCAGAUGGCUGAGCGGAGGUGGGCGGCGGCGGCAACUGUAGCUCCGUUUUCUUCGCUUCCUCGUUGAACGACCGCAGCUCUCUACCCUCUUCUCGGUAACGGACUUUCCCUCGGCUCCUUAAGUGGAUCCCCUUCCUCUGUUCUCUGUCUCUUAAGGAAACGCAGAGACAGAGGGCUCUACGGUUCCAUCCUAUCCACUGUUCCGGCGAGAAAUCUUUCGAUCUGCUCGAUUCCGGGUGUCCUGGUCUCGUCCGUAUCGUCGGUUGUGUGUUGUUCUCGGUGGUGGUGGUGUGGUGUUGUUGACGCCGUGCCUUGGUGCUGCUCGUUGAUUCUCUGGUCUCUGUCCACCGUGGCCUGGUCUCUGGGCUCCCUGCUGCGCGGUGUUCGUCUUCUCGGGUUGGUGCCGUGGACGUCUCCCUCGGCUCCGGCAGCGGCUCUAGUAUCUCCGUCAACCUCCCGCCGUGCAGGCCCGGACGUGGGCGGCGGAAUUGGUUUUCUGGGACAGAACCUUGUGUUCGCUGAGCUGGUCUUCCCACGUAGACAGUCUAUGUGAUGUGAGUUAUUCGUUGUCUCACUUUAUUUACUGUUUAAUUUUGUGCAAUCUGCUAGUAUUAAAUACUUGGGUGUGAUUGCACUGUUGUGGGCGGAUUUGUGUGCUCGAUGAUGAUAGCGGUGUAGUGAGACAACGUGACAGUCUGGGUUUUAGUGUAUUAUCAUUUUCAGCAUUGAUAUUAUUUGUGCCUAAUUAAAUCUCUCUUUGUUGAGGUUGUUUACCUGUGUUAAAUUCUGUUAUUUUAUUUAGUACACAGCUCCUUACUAUUAGUAUUUAGAUUUGAUUAUUAGGCUUAUUACAUCUGAUCUAAAACCCUGAUUUGGUAAGAUAGGGCUGUCACGUUAGUCGAGGAUCUCUGAUCACCUAUUAGCGUUGGAGGGCUGUUUAUUACAACAACCUGCUAUUUUGAGAGCAAUACUUUAAGAAAAACAAUCAUGUUUAUUUGUUUAAUCUGCUUACUUCAUGUGCAAGCCAUGUUUAAUUAUAAAAUGGACCUGAGAUGCUAUUUUACAUGUUUACAUGUUCUAGAAUUGCUACUGUUCAUUGCUGCAAUAAUUAUAUAUGGCAUUUGUCUUGAGUUAUAUGCUUGUUUUAUUCGGAAUUAGAAUAUUUAAUUUAUUUAAAUAUGAAGAAAGCAUGUCACUUAUUUCUCUAAUAUUACAAUUAGAAUAUUUAAUUUAUUUAAAUAUGAAGGAAGCAUGUCACUUAUUUCUCUAAUAUUACAACACGUAUGAGUGGUCGUGACUAUAUCCAUAACUUUGAGGUCUAGCUCUAUGGGUGUAGGGCCCUUGCAACCCAUCAUCGAUAAUACGAUGUACCGCCCCCUCACUAUGAAUGGAAUGGUCUGUUGUCGAGCCAGCUCAUCCGGAAGGCUAAGGUAAUGCCCCACCUACCACGACACCAUACUUUUACAGAAUUUAUGAUUAACAGUUGUUUUACAGAAUUUCCUCACGUCCGUUAGCUCGAUUCAGCUUCGUAAAAAAAUAAUUUGACUCCUGAAAGAAACACACAUGGCAUUGGCAGGAUGUUGACAUCUGUAAUUGUUUCUUCUCGUGCUACAAAAGAAACAGAGCGACCAGAGAAUUUGACGCACAUGCUGUAUAUUUUUAUUUACAAGAAGAGCCUACACUGUGCAGGCUGUAGAGCAUACAGCCGUGACUUUGCUAAGCUAUUUGGAUGCAGUCGUUCAAGACAUGCACGCCGUUCUCGCUCAUCUGCUGUACUUCCGAAGGUGAUAAGAUCCGGAUGCAUCUCACACAGUUGAUGAACUCCCUGCCAAGAGGUACAAAGAAGACAGUGAGGUUACUCCGUGCAGGGAGCAAUUCAGAAACCGACGCAUGCACUACUACUACUAUUUCGAAAACAAACAAAAAAAAAGUGCAGAGAAGGCUAAUAGAGUACUUACUCCCAUGGAUCGUCUCCAACGAGAAGAACAUCGUUCUCGUAGUCGACAUAAACAAGCUUCCAAUCUGAACUGCCAGGAUGUUCCAGCUUCCCCUGGAGUCCAAACAUGCACGCAAUGGCUGACCUCAACUCAUGGUAAUCUCUGAACCGUGUAACGUCAAUACAUCUUCCAACUGAUCCUAACUUCUGAACCUGCCAUCAAGGAGAGCAAGACAGCAUAAGCAAAAAAAAUAAACACAAGGUUUCAUUUCAAGAAUCUUUAGUUUUAGCGUACCUUUGUAUAGGUCCGGACCGGUGGUUUCAUUUGCUUCGCACUUCUAUCCGUGCCGUACUCUGCCGCCGCGUCCAUACUGCAUGAAGGUGUUCCCAUGGAACUGGUGUGGAUCUCUUGCAGAGGCAAGGGUUGGCAUUCUCUUAUGUUUGACAGUUUCGGGAACGCCCCUGCAUCGAAGCUCCCCGUCGCCAGUGGCUGAGAGCAUGACGAGCUGUUUAUAUGGAUGGCUUCCAUGUGAAGGCCACUCAAGGAUGCGCUGUGGCUCUCCUCCGAGAAACUCAUCUGCACAUAGGAGUUGGAUGUGCUCGGCAAGUUGCUGCCGGCAUCCAAUUGUUGCAUCUCAGGCGACAUAAAUGCCAGUGUGUUUAUAUCCGGACUGCCGAUGAACUCUUGAAUGGAGCUAGGAAAGCACUCAGAAAGGCAAGAUGUUUGAAACGCAUCCAAGGCAUCAGCGUUCAUGGUGGAAGGUAUACCUUCAGAUGGAUUAAAAAUGUUAUCCGACGCGGUAACUGAUUGGAUGCCAUUGGAGUCUUGGUAAUAGGAAGGUGGAAUCAUCCAGUCCAGACCCUCAAAGAACUGUGGGAUACACCCUUGGUUUGGGAACGAACUGACGGACUUCCCUCCAUCAGGUGACUUUGAUGAUUCUAUCUUUGGUGGCGCAAGUAGUUCAUGCUGUUCAACCUGCUGCUGAACUUGGAGCUCUCCAGCAAAAUCACCAUGUGUAAGUGCUCCAGAUGAUUCUUCGUUAUUCCCACAGGUAGCUUGUUCGGCUUCACAGUCAGCCAGUCUUGGCUCUGAACCAUGCUUCUUGUCGUCACAAAUCUGAGAAGGUACUGAACAAAGCUCAGAUUUAUCUGAAAUGGUUUUCUGAUACGAGCUCUUCUUGCUCCUUCGAGUUUUUGUUCUAGGCUCACCCUUGCUGUUUUGAUCCGAAAUGCUUUGGCUUGAGUGUGAAUCUGUGCUUCUUGGUGCUCUUGGUUUAACACUCAUCUCCUGUGCAGGAUUUGAAUCACUAGCUGUCUGAACUUCACAGCUUACUCGAUCACUUCUCUGAAUACCAAGAGCAUUCAACUGUGGCUGGGCUUCAGUCGAAGGCAUGCUUUCUUGCUUCAUUGAAGCAGUGGAAGCACCAAACGUCUUUGGAGGGAAAUAGCUGUGCUUAGCAUUUUGAAUAAUGCUGGAAAAUGAUGAUUGUUGACAAGCGAUUGGACUUCCGAUGUUCUGGCCAGAUUGAUUGAGAAGCAGUAGAGCCAAUUCUGAGCCCAUCCCUGGCAUGUGCUGCAAGUUACCGAUAGGAUUUCCUUGUGCCCUUGGAAUUGAUGACAUAUUUACAGAUCCAAUUUGUAGGCCCGGAACUGCAAGUGGAAAAGGCAGAACUUGUUUCAGCUUGCUGCUUGAUGUUAAAGAAACCUACGGAAUGGUAGAGAAGUACCUCCAUAGCUAGGAAGACAUUGCCGCUUCGAAUUCAAAGGAGAAGAGAAAACCAUGUUCUCUGGAGUUUCGAUAUCCCAUAUGCUAACUCUUUCAGGUCUUUCUCCAUACCCAUGUUCAUCCCAUUCUACCUGCAAGUUGCGCCACUUUGAGUUUGGCCAUCGCAUCGGGUCAUAGUCGCUAAUUCCCACAAUAGCACCUGUGCAUCUGCGAUAUAAAGCAGUUUGGUUUGGAAUGGUUAUGGCGCAGAAGUACUCAUCAUAUGCUAAGCUCAAACACAAAUUCUAACUUAAAUGUUACAGUUUGCAUUCAAUUCAGAAACACUCUAGGCAUGAAAAUAUCUGAUUCUGAUUUAUUCUUUAUGCAAAGCUUAGGACGAAGACACCCUCCAGUAAUAUUUUGUUUUUGAACCUUGAAAGCAUGCUCAUUUAUAUUAACACUAACAUUAAUUAGAGAUGGUGCAGUAAAAUUCAGAACAUAGAACCAGAAAUAGAAAAUGCUGCCUACAUACAAAGACCAAGUGCAGAGAAUACAAACCUGCGCUUGCUUGACUCCUCCGUCUCAAACAUCAUCGCGAACCUCAUUCCAACAGAUGGUUGCAGAUACGUGGCCUUAUUGUACCUCGCAAGAGGAAUCACAAAUGGCGACGGGCUUGUCCUAUAGUGAUUUCAAUAACAAAUGUAUGUAAAUAUGCCUACCAGAAAAGCACGCCAAAUAAUGGUUAGAUAAAUUACAUACCGAGGAUUGUAGUAAAUAGUAAAUGAGCCACCACUUGAUGCUGCAUGAGCUGCUGCAGCAAGAACGCCUAUGUGCAUACUGUCAGUAGACAGGACGGAUGAAGACAAAGCCGGUUGUUGUCGGGUGGCCCUCCUAACACCGACAAGGAGCUGUGACUUCUCAUCCCUGCACCAACAUUUUUCUGUCAUUGGUCGCUUUGCAGUGCAGAAAGUUUAUUGUGUGGCAGAUUAUAACAUUAACAUGCUAAUCUAAUUUUAGACAAACUAUAGUUAUGGUGUCGCUGGAGUAGGCAUCAGUCGUUGCUUUCACAAUAGCAUUGGGAAGUAUUAGCACAGAUUGGUUCAUAGCUUGUAACAGCAGCAUAGACAUUGAAAAGAAUGAAGUUUAAAUUUAAAUUGGUGACCAACUAUUAAGAAAAGGCAGCAAGUAACAUACAAAAAUUUUAUGGUAACCAGUUUUGCUUCAUUACAACAAACAUAUCAUGAAGUCAAGGAAAGAUUCUAUAUGGUACAACCAGAUUUUGCAACCCCUUGAUAUGACAUCAUUUGAUAAACGUUAUAUAAAAUAAAACAGAUUUAGUUUCUCAGCAAUGCCAUAUACCUUUGCUUAAGACAAAGGAUAGACUGAUAUGUUUCUAAGUUCAAAUGCUGACCUGAUAAAUAAGACAGAGUCUCCAGCUUUAAGCCGUUUCGCCCCAACAAAAAGGCUCCAUCCAGUUGUUAGAAGAUGUCGCUUUGGCUGGCCUGCAAGGAGCAUCAAGGCAAGAGAGUCUUAGACAGUGGGACCAAAGGUAUCCUGCAACUUCUUUAUGCAAUAACAAAGAAGAACAAAGUCAGACAGUGUCCGACCCUACCACGAUAAAUGUGACGGAACGUCCACAUGUUAUCAUGCAAAUCUCGGACGAUAAGCUCCUGAUUAGGAGGCUGCAUUGAGUAAUCCUGGGGGUUGAAAACACGGGUCUGAGCUGAAGCUGAAAAAAGAAGAUAAAUCAAUUAUGCAAAAGAGUAAAGACAAGAACCUCGUACCAGUUGCGGAAACAGCUUCUCGGCAGCUCUCCGCGGCACUGAGAAGCCGCCAUGCGUACUUGUAUCGCUCGCGGUUAGAUUUUUGCAGAAGUAUUCGGUGGGGUGCUUGCUUUUGGUAUAGGCACCAAGAGUUGGAAUUGGGAAGACGUCUGUUUCCUGGAAUGGGCAGCAGGAUUAAAAAGUUCAUCAGCUUCUUCUGGAUUCCUCCCCAAUGCCAUCUCUUACCGUUACUGGUGCUUCCUAAAGGCAGUGCACGUUACACUACAGCACUUUCUGUUGGUGCCUACUAGAGACAAAAUUGGUGUGCACCAGUUGUAUGAGACGUCUCAAAAUUACAUAGUACUUAUUUUUUUCCAAGCAAAACUCUUAGACUUAUACGCAAUGCAUCACUGCACUGCAGCACAGUUCACGUACCGAGUGUAACGGUUGCAGGGUCAUCUGGCAGUAAAUCUCAUCAGUUUCUUUGUCGGCCUGUACAAGUCAAGCAUUAGCUAUUAGGAUUGUCCAAUGGAACUGAGCUAGUAGUACCAUUUACACUUACAUGCAAAGUGAUGUUGUGGACUUGGCAUAGCAGCUGCGGCGGGAGACUCGGGUAGUUUGGGAUGCGAGAAUUCGGUAUCUUUUUAGUGGUAGCAGCAACCUGCAAAAGAACGGCUUCAGCACCGAAGAGCGGGCACUUCACAAGUUGUGGAGUUAAGCUGGUCAGCGGGCAUUCCAUGGAUAAGGUAAAUGGAUUCAACAGCAAAGACAGAAUGGUUCACCGCAGCAGUAAAAAAAAGACAGCUAAAUAAUACUGCGUCGAUCGCAGUGUAUUCAGAAUCCCCGCUUCGGAAGAGAAAAAAAAAAGAAUAUUCAGAACCCAUUCGAACUAACCUGCUCGCUGUGGCCCUGCGGGAAGUAGUAGACGAGGCUCCCGCGCUGCGGCAAGCACACUAGCGGCCCCGCGCACGCGUGCCACAGCUCGGAGUUGAUCACCUUCUUCGCACCUGACGCCGGAAAGCGAGCACCGGGAAGAAAGAAAGAAAGAAAGGAAGAGCUCGCAUCACGCCAAAACGGGGACGGGGCAAUGCAGAAUUCUGCAAGACCCAAGCAAAAGCUGCAUGUACUACUACUCCUCACCCUGCGUUUCUCCCAUGAGCUGCAUUUCGUCGAGCAGCGCCGCCGCGUUCCUCAGGACACCCGACGUGGCCUUCUCCUGCGAGGAGGCCAUCAUCUCCGGGAGGCGCCGCGCCGCACGCACCAGACCGAAGCUGAAAAAGGGAAAACUCGAGCUUUUGUUGGUGCCAAGCUCCCGACGGAUGCAAUAUCGGCUCCCAGCAGCUUAUGCGCACUUUAGCAUUGGUGGCUGAGGGGAAGUGAGAGCUCUACCACGCCUGCAUGCCACUGUGAGAGAGGACGAGCGUGUUAAAUGGCAAGCAAGCUGUUUCUGUUUGCGAGCAGCAGGCAAAGAGGAGGUUGGGAGGGGAGUAAAGGCCAGGUGAAGAAGACGGAACCCAAGCCCCCAACCCAAACGCAUUUCCUAGUGGUAUAGCGGUGGUAGUAGCUGCUAGUGGCUACUGCCUACUGCUGCUAGCAAUGCAUUCCAAGCGAUGGUGUUGGGUGGGUUGGGGGUUUGGGUCCCCAUGGCGACCAGUCGACCACGACCCCGCCUUUUUUCCCCCAAGAAAGCAGGCGGCUUUUGUGUCCUCCUCACGCCACGCGCAGUCGCAGGCAGAGCAUGCCAUGCCCUCCUACGGCUACGAGGCAGUAGGAGUAAAGCCCAACAGGGGCACAGGGACAGGGGGGCUACGAACGCGCAGAGUAGAACGCAAAGAAUCUCGGUCGUCAGCUAGUAGGUCUAGCUGGUAUGUGCGUGCUCGAAUGAACUCCACGGGACGGGCGUGCACGCCACUUGGCGCCCGGCUCCUGAUGCGCCGAGCUGCAAUGCAAAGCCCCGUCGUUGCGACUUGCGAACCUGCAACGGCGACAGGCUCUUCUCUUUCCCCAUGCGGUGAAUGGCAGCGUGCGUGCAUGCAUGGUCUCUCAUGAACGGCGGCAACGCUAGGCAGGCAAGUGGCAGAGGUUUGGGGCUUUGGAUUACACGAGAGGCCGUGACUGACGCGUCACGAACCCGCUUUCUUCAUUGUCGUCCGUGCCGUCGAAUUCAAAACCAACAGAUAAAAGGAUGAGAAAGAUAGGGAGACGACGAAAGUCAAGAAGCAACAAAGCAAGAGAGAGGGAGGGGGGGGGGAGAUUGAGCAAUGCCAAGAACGGAAACCACACGUCGGCUUGUCUCCUCUCCAGGGACCGCCGCCACACGCAGGGCAGAACGAUGCCAAGGCUUGGUGGUUGAAGGAUGAAGAGCGAAGGCAACCACCAACCAGCGUCCAGCGGAGACGAGCAAGUGAAGCCAGCUCCACCAGAGUCCAGGCACCCCGAUAAAUAAAGCCAAGCGGCAAGUGCCAAGCGCUCUGCCGCUGGUAAAAGGCGACGUGGAAAGCGUGCAGAGAGGCGAUCGAGCCCGUGGCAGCGGCGCACCGCACGCCAGGGCUGGCUGGCUGGGGAGCAUGCACGCGGGACAUGGAUAGGAGACGCCGUGGUGUGGACCGUGGACUGACUGAUGGUGGCGGCGUCUUGUGAACAGUGGACUCAGCAGCAGCAGCAGCAGCACCAUGUCCGGUGCGUAUGGCGUGGCGUAGCUAGACGGAGCGGGUGGGCAAUGAUACCCAUGCACGCGCGCCCGGGGCGGGGGCGGGGCGGCCGUGCUCCGACUCCGAGUCCGAGCUCGACUUUCCUUUUGUCCGGUGCCUUUUUUUUUCUGCUUGGAGUUGUGUUCAUCUUCAUCAUCGCGAUCUCCCUCAGCAGUCUCUCUCCUCUGCGACCUUUGGGCGGGCUAAAGAUGCCGGCCUUUCGAGGGGAGGCGAUGCCAUGAUGCCUCAUUUGCGCAGGCAUAUGCUUCGCUGCCGGCCGGCCAGCCGAGCGAUCGUGUCUCGCUUUCUCGCCCUUCGUUCGGGCCGCUGCUUUGCGUCUCUGUCCCGUCUUGACCCAUCUCCCACAUGGCAGUCAGCUAGGCGCGGAGCAGCAGACCGGGGGAGAGAGAGCAGUGCGCGCGCGUACGUACGGCGGCGUGUCUACGCGUGCUGGCAAGCGCGACGCGCCACGCCACCGCCAUCCCCCUCGCGUCGCCGUGCGGUGUGGAUGGGAUGGGACUAGUCUUGUAUGGGGACGGAGAGGGAGGGAGUCGUCAGUUGGUCAGUGGCCAGGCAGGCGUGGGUGGAUGUGGAUCUGCUCGGGUAGGACGACGUCGAUCCAUCCAUUCCUUCCGGGGGCCGACGUCGAUCCAUCACGUACGGGGGGUACGGGGUACCGGCAGGGAUUCGGAUUCGAACCUGGCGAACAUGUGGUAGUCGUGGGCCCGUGGCCGUCUGCUGCACUAGUAUCCCGUCCAACAGGCCGGACGUACGACGCCGACGCGUGCACUACCGUAGGAGUACGUACGUACAUACUCCACGCCCAUACAUUACACUCCUGCUUGCUACGUACGUGUUUGGCCUCCAAAGUCUAGACCGCGCGAAACGGACCGGACCGGACCAGACCAAUGAAUGCCCCAUUUGGAUGAUGGAUCAUAAUGAGAUUCGCGAGCUCAGCUCCUCUUUUUUGGCAGCGAGAGCUAGGGAUAAAAAGUGGCUCACUUCCCAUCUCCCAGUACAGGAUCAGUAUGAGACAUGAGGAAUCAUCAUCGCUGUACGUAAUGCCGAUGCCAAGACUCCAAGGCGCCUUUUACUUGACCUGGGCGUGCAUCCUAUACGGAGUCGGACCUCGAGUGCAUGCGUUUUCAACGAUGCCACGCCUUCCAUUACGCGCGGGUGAAGAAUACUCAAAAAAAAAAAAAAAAAAAAAAGAGGAGACCCUUGUCCUGAACCAUCUUUGGCCUCUGUUCGACCCUUGGACGAGUACGUAGUGUAAGUAGUGCACUGUUUGGCUGCCCUUGUCCUGCACGAUGGCAAGACAAUACAAGAAGAUAAAAACACGGCCAGAGACAGAGACAGUCUCCUGAUGUGUAGUCCAGCCGUGACGAGUCCGGCAGCAGGCAGCAGGCCACCUCGGGGCAGACCGAAUCCCAUUACGAUCCCGUCUCGCUGCUCACGGCGCCAUGUCUCGGGUCAGGCACGAGGAAGAAGGUCCACGGUCCUCCCCGUCCGUCCGUCCUGCGAGACCGCGAGAGCUGAGCGCGAGUACCACUCCUCCUCUGCCUUCCCUGUCCUCCCUGCACGGACGGCAGCACGCGACGACGCGCACGUACCAGUACCAGACCGCCGCCCGGUCGUCGCGUUGCGCGUCACCCGCGGCCGCGCCACGCCACGCCAAGGCGUGACGAGACGGCUCCUCCGCCCGCCCGUGCCCGUCCUCACUCGCGCUCGCGGGCAGGUGCACUGCAGGGGGUGCACUGGACACUGGCCAGUGGCCACUGGGACAGGGCAGAGCUCUCCUCGGACGCUGCCGCAAAUGGGGCCAGCGCCCAGCGCGUUCUGGGUCGGCGGCUCGGCGCCCAGGACGAUGGACAUGGACGGCAGUGCUCCGGUCACGGUCAGGACUCAGAAGGGCCUGGUGGCCCGGGCUGAGUUGAGCUGAGCUGACGUGCCCCUGCCGGAGCGCAAGCAGCCAGGGUCCAGGGCAGGGCAGCCACAGGAGCGCGGGCUCCUCCAGAUGGCAGUUCUUCGCCCCGGCGACGCUGCCUGGGCCCCCCGCUGCACGUCAUGCCACGGCACGGACCACGGCCAGGGGAGGCGAGACGAGACGGGACGGGACGACGAGCCGGGGUGGGAGUGGGACCAGGUGGAGGGCGCAGCGGGCGGGUCAGAAUCCCCGGAAUGUCGAGACGAGACGGGGGGACAGGACGUCUCGCAUGACGUCACCGGCCAGAGCCCAAGGCCCAAGGGGAGGGGGGACAAAAAAACGAGAUUGUCCGUUUUAUUACUACUACACUACUCCUAUGGUUUUCUAGUACAUUUUAUUAACCAGCUGAUCUGUCUCGUCUCGAAAGAAUCGCGAGCCUGAAACUAGCACUUUGUUCAUGGAGAAAAUUCCUGGUAUGCCAUCAGAUUUUAUACUCAUCCCUUGUGUGCCACUGAGUGGCAUAUAAGUAUAAUUUUUGGUGUCUAUGACAUGUGGGGCCAGUGGCAUACAAGGGAUGAGUAUAUCUUUAUGGAGAAACCCCCGUGUACAUUUUUUUUACUGUGAGCUUUUUUAUCAUUAUGCGAGUAGAAGCCGUGUGGCACUGGUAUGGCAUGCAAGCUCGAUGUGUACUGUGGAUGGAGGCAUCAGGCAUGCAUGGUUCGAGCUACACAGCGAUUCUCCGUCUAGCACGCACGCUAGGUCGUCGUGCACUCAUGCCGUGAUGUGCGGUGCAGACUGGAGAUGGAGCUGUGCAUGCAUGCGUAGUGCUGGGAAUUGGGUCGGGUCAGGCUAGCCUGGCCCAAGUCUAUCGUGCUUUGUGUCCAACGGGUUCAGGGCAGCAAAGUCCAAAAGAUUUUUGGGUCGUAUCGUGCUAGCCCGAAAUGUAAAAACAGUGUUCCAGUCCGACCUUAAACCACGUCGUGCCUUCUUCGCAUCAUUUGACCCGUAUAUUUGAUCAAAUAAAAUCAAAAUAUUACGACCAUAUAAAAUUCAUAGCUUACUAAAUUAAAGAUAUUAAACAAUUCUAGCAUCAUUUGACUACAUAAACUCCAAAUAUAAAAAAAUAAAGUCGAUAUCUUACUAAAUUAAAGAAAUUAAACAGAUUGUGCUUAAUUGGCCGUACGGCCCAAGCCCGGUCCAUCUAUGCAGGCCGUGUCGGGGGCACGACGGGCCGUAAAUUGAGGCCCGGCCCAAGCCUGACCCAUAUUAUUUCGUGCUGGGCCGUGUUUUGUGCUCCUAUUUUCGUGCCGUGCUCGUGCUGGCCCGAAAAGUCUAGCCUAUAUUUCAAGCACUAUGCAUGCGUGCUCGAUCAUGGUGGUGGAGAUGGAUCACCGUCGCCGCCUUCUUUUUCCUUCGUGUAAUACAGUGUGUGCUAGCGCCACACAGUAAGCACCACUUCUCUCUCCUCUAUCAAUUAACCCAAAAAAAAAGACCCGGUGCCACUGUUCCUUUUGUACCGAGCUGGUUGGCUGCCCGAAACGCGACUGUGUACGACGGAGAAUCUCUAGCCACCCCUAAUAAUUGUGGUAAUGGUAGAAAGGGAACUUUGGGAGCCGCCGCCGCUAAUCAUGAGCUUUAAGCGCAAGCCCCUGAGUGAGCUCCGAGUCUCCGACCAUUUUGUCACCCCGGAAAGCCGCGCCAGCCAGGGGAAUAUACGCGUAGACAAGAAUCUCGCACAUGAUUAGCUAUACUGCUGCUGCCUUUGCGACGCCCUCUCGAUCACUUUCGCUUGGGCCCCGUUUGUUUCGUUAGAAUUGAAUUCUAUUCUAAUAAUUAUAAUUUAGACAAAACUAAUUGAGUUAAUAUAUUUAUUUAUGUAAUGUAUUUGUACGUUAUCCUAAAUCAUAUUAGAUAGAUAGUUAUACACUACAUUUAUGUUAUAGAGAAACAAGUAGAAGAGUGUGCUAUAAAUUGUACAUUAGAAAAGUAACAUGUAAAUCUAUAGAAUUAAUUUCCAUCUCUCGCCUCCAUGAAUUUGAAAUAGACUUAUAUAUACACUUUGGAAAGUUGUGGAAUGUCACAUUCUAAAAAAUAUCCUAUUGCAUUAGUUAAAUUCCAAUUCCUUAAAAUGAAGGGAAACAAACGGGCCCUUGGGGAAUUUUGACACGGGUGCUGUGCUGUGCUGUACUCCGCGGCCAUGCAUAUGCUGCCUACCAUUCUACAGCAGUACGUAGUAUAGUAGUAGUGCUCCUAUCUACGGUGGAGACUACUACCAUACGUCCAUACCAGCAGCAGACCGUCGUAGACAGACAGGGGACAUUGCAAGGCGUAGGCGCCGCCCGGAGUAGUUGAGCCCCAAAUGCAAGGGAGGGGAAGAGCAGCGAGCGAGACGACGGGACGGGAAAGCAAAGCUGCAAAGGGAACGAACGGCAUGGGAAUUUGGGACGACGGGGGUGCAUGGGCCAGGGGGACGGGAUGCUGUAUUGCUGUGCUGUGCAGUGCGGUGCGGUGCGCGCGCCUGGCGGCCUCGUAGUCCGCGCGCGGCCAUGGCGACACCGCGAGAGCAGAUCACUAGCAAGAGGCGGGGGACGGAUGGGGCGCGCGGGCAGUAGUAUACAAUACUACUCCAAUACAUGGCGUCCGGUCCGGGCGCGAGCGCCGAGGAGCACGCGCGCUCCUGCUGCAUACGCCGGGGGAAAGUCGAAGGUCGGAGGGACGGCCGCACCAUCGAUGGAUCCAUGGCCAUCAUGCUUGCUUCCGCCAUUCCAAAGUCUCCCUCGUCUCGGAUUCUCUCUCUCGGUGGCGUGGCGUGGCGUGGCAUGGCAUGGCAAGCCACGGAUGGGACGCCCGCUUUUGGGGGUCCUUUUCUCCCUCGUGACCCGUCUGAACGACCUUCUCAUCCUCAUUCUCCCUCCGUGUGGUGUGGACCGUGGUUUUGCGGCCCGGCCAACCAGCCACGGGCAGCUCCACCUCCACCAGGGGUCAGGGAAUGCCUCCUACGGGCUACGGGCCGGCCGCCCUCUCAUUCCAUGCAUGGUCACUGGCUCACCGCUACGUGCUGUAGGUAACUUGGUACAGUUCUAUACAGCUGAUGUACUAUUCUCUCCUCCUUUUGCCUUCCGGAUGAAUGAAAAAGUCUGAACCAAGACCUGCGUGCGCUCGUACCUGUCUGUCACCGUCACCUGUGUCUUUGCUGCCGGCUCGUGGAGCGUCACACUAGCGUAGCGGGCUUUGCAAUGGGCCGCUCAUGCCAUGGCGGACCGUCAGAGCUUGGGUUUCAUCUCUUAGUUCGCCAGCCAGCCCAUUAGGCCUUAUGGGUUCCAACUGUAGUCUGUAGACUGGCUCACUUCCAGUCUCCAGCUUUUCCUCCUACCCUUCCACUCUCAGACUGACUACAGCGGUUGACACUACCGCGCCCCCUCCCCUUGCAUGUCGGCUGUAGGGGGCACCCUAUGGCCGCAGCGGUGCCCCCUACAGCGCCCCCUACGUGUCGGUCCCCUUCUCUCUCCCCCCAGAUCUAGCGUGUCACUGUUCAUCACCCUAAACACUGUGCUGUGGGUCCACGAGUAAUUGUUAGUAAAUAAAAAAUUGAAAGUUGGUAUAGAAAAAUGAUAUUUUAUAGUGGUAGUAGGGUAUAGGGGGAGUAUUUAGGGGGAACCGCUGCGGGAGAUGAAAAAAUAGGGGAGAAAAUAGGGGGGAAAAGUGAUAUAGGGGAAAAAAAAUUAGAGGUAACGGUUGCGGAUAGCCUCAGCCGCCCGCCGGAAACUGGAUUCGUAUUCGUCUCUCCACAGGAUCACCUCUCCCUACGCCUCCUGCGUCAACUGCCAGCAGCCACCACUCACCUCUCCAUCAUUGCCUCCCUCCUCUUUGGUAGAAGAUGGCCUAAUCCCUAUCCUCCAGCUCCGUUAAUCCCUGUUAGGCAUCAAUCUUGCGGGAAAAAAGGGCAGACUCAGGGUCGAAGGCUCCCAUGAGUAGGGUCUAGGCCUCUAGAGAAGGGACCGAGGCAAACAAAGGGUUCAAAGAAGCAUAAACAAAAAUGAUGAGAUGAACUAUAGAGGCUAGUUUGGGAGCCACAAACCCGAAGAUGAUUGGAGAGGCUAAAAUCCUCUUCUUAUUUAAUUUUGAAUAAGAAGAGGAUUAAAUGAGAAGGAGAUUUUAGUCUCUCUAAUCUUCUUUGGUUUUUGGACUACUAAACUAACCCUAUAUGAUGCUAUAUUUCACUUUCCACCUACCGUUUUAUAUAGGAUCAACAAUAUAAUGUGGCUGGUUGUCAUUGUUACUACUACAAACUAAUGCCUCCAUCAUGCAAAAAAAGUCUACAGGCAAGUAUCUGAGGCCCUCUUCACUCCUGAAACCCUCAAAGCUGAAUGGAUAGGUGACAACACCAACAGUAAUUAAAGAUAACCAGCAUCCUUUGAUAUCUGGGCAAUAAAUGGAGCAACACCGGAUCCAGUACCCUCUCCCCUCCCAGCUCUGAAUGGUGUCUUUUCUCGACUCCUCAUAUUUACUGUGCGUGUGUUAUGUAGCCGACCUCUAACUUUGUCAAUGGAACUUUAUAGUUAGCUGAAGAUCCACUUUUGCAUAAAAACAUUGGAGGCAUAUAAUAUUAUCUAGUCCACGAAUCAACUGCUCUCUAAUUUGUAGAAGAUAAUGCGUCUGUGAACUGAUUAAGACUUGGGAAUCCAUGUUUAUAGCAUAAAAUUCGAUACCCUAAAACCGUAUAAUUCAAUUAUCAGGCCUUGAGGACACAACGAAAAAACAUACAAUAAUUGCCACAGUUAAAUCUAUUGGACUCGUACCGUUGGGUAGGUAUUCGAAAAAUUACAGAACUAAGCAUACCAGCAUCGACCCGGGGGGGCGAAAAUAAGCCCAGUUUUCAAAAUGUGAGCAUCUCAAAAUAGUGCUCAAAAAAUAAAAUACUACAUCCUUUAAAUUGUUGAAGAUACUAAAAACAAAUUAACCUCCAAUAGUUAAACCCUAAAUCAUGUAUUUUUAUAAAGUAAAUUACAUUUAGGAAAGAAAAUGUUGAGCAUGAUAUAGAGACAAUGAUAUGACACUAAUCUAGAGUGUGUAGUAUAUCUGGGAUCACUUCACAUUGUGCUCUAUAUUUUUUGAUACAAAAAUUAUAAAAUAUAGCACAAUUGGAGCUUUUUUAUGGGUUAAACCUUAUAUUUAAAGAUAGUACACUGAUUUAGGUCACUCUUGGAGAUGUUAUCGAGCCAAUGAGGGUCCGCCAACCUGCCACUGCUAAUGGGUGACAAUGGGCUCUAAAUUUUACACUAUAAGAUUUAAAGAUCGAAUCGGAUUAUGAUUGAGCCCUAUUUAUAUUAAUUUGUGAGCUAAAAUUUAUUUAGGGCAUACCAUUUUGUGAAGAAACGUUUGGAUCGUGAUCCAUUACCACCCCUAGCCACCGCCUAGAGGCCGCUCCAGAUCAUGCGAUUGACGGCGUUGUUGUCACCGUCGCCGCCGCCCACCACCUUUAUUCUUGUUGUCUCUAGAUGCGCGAACGAGCACCUCAUGCUCGUGCGACGGGGCAGCUUGUGGUCUCGCCACCCGCUUUCCAGCAGUGCACACGGUGUCCCAAACCCUAAAGACAUACGAGCGUCAAAACUGAGGUGGAGGAGGCAGUAGGUGAUGCCAUGGCCACUCGCUCGUCUCCUUAGCGAAAUGCAGGGACAAGGCAAGGUGGUGCCAUGGUGGGUGAUAGAGAGGUAUAGAAGAGGAGAUUUGAAGUGGCAUAUGGUUUUCAAAAAUUGGAGGGUUUGUUCUUUGCUUCUGUACUAGGGUGAUUAUAUUCUCAGGUUAAGGUGUCAAAUAAUGGAAUAUAUACAUAGGUUUUCAAAUACCCACUGAAGGCUUGUUUGAGAGCAAGAGAACGGAAGGGGAUAAAAUCCCUUCUACUCAAAAUAUACUCAAUUUUGAAUAGAAACGGGAUUUAGCCCAUCCAAUCCCCUCUAUUUCUUUUGCUCCCAAACAUUCCUUUACAAUUGUUUUGUCAACACUACCCUCAAAUUAGGAUAUUGGUGAUGGUAUAACCUAUUGUAGUGGGAUGGAGCAAUAAAAGAGUUGAAAGAGGCUAGACAGAAGGUAUGUAACAUCCUUGUUACUUCGACCACCUACCAUGGUGUAUGCAGAAAUCCCAGGGCAUUUCGGUUAUAGUUGACGAGGUACGUGGAUCAUAUUUCAGGUUCUAUGGUAGUUUGCCAAUCAUUAUAGUUGUGUAAGGCGCUGACUUAGUUGUGCAAUCCACACACAAGGUGUCAUGCUCCAUUAUACUGUCCUCAUUGCUAGGCCUGUGCAAAAUAAACCAAAACCGAACUAAUCGUUAGUAUUUUCGGUUCCAUGUUUUAGAAAACUGAAAUAACAUGUGUAAUUUCUAUUUUAUACGUCUGAAAACCGAAUUAACCAAAAGAUCGAGAUAUACUAGAAGUCCAAUAGACCAAUAGAAUUUUAGGCAUGCCUCAAUUUAGCCUUCCCAAAUCAUAAGUAUAUAAACACACAUACCCUCCAAAACAAUCCAUCCUCAACCAUAAUCCUUUAUCCGGGCUUUUGUGCACUCUUGCUAAACUCUAAAUUCGAGUCAGUUCUGUCUGUCCUAGUUGUAUAUUUUGGUUCUAGUAUUUUGGGAUCGAAAACUAUAAAAACUAAGGAACCGAAAACGCAAUCCUACUCGUUGCUUCACGUCUUUGAAGAUCUUGUUGAUAUAGAUAUGGUAGGCUAAUUGUAAGUGUAAUCAACCUCUUGGGGUUUUGGUGAUCAAAUGAUAAAACAAAUUAUGGUGUGCUUGGAAGCAAAGUAUUUCAAAACUAUGUUUUUGGAAUACUAUGGUCUUAAGAUGUCAUGACACAAUUGUAGUAAAAUUUGCAUCACUCUUAGCUACAUGUGUUUGGAGACAAAGUAUCUCAAAUCAUGGUAUAAAGUAUACAUGUGCAAGGUUAGUGGACAAAAACUUUGGGUUGGAGUUUCAAAUGGUGCACAAAUAUCAUGUUAUCUACAAAAUCAUAUCAUAGCAUUCAUAAUGUAGUCAAACACCUUUUUUUGUAAAAAAAUGCUUUGGUAUUCUCCAAUACCAUGGUUUCAUCUAAAAAACUCUAAAAUACUUUGCUUCCAAACACGUCUUUAAAAGUUUAACAUUUUUGCCUUAAGUAUGUGAUCAGUUUGGAUCACGUCAAAACGAUGCAAGAAGCAAGUACUCAUAUGGAAUCGCACAACACUUCAAAGAAUUUAGAUCCAACACUCAAGAUUCCUAGCGACUGUGAUUUUAAAUUUUAUCUUAUUAAGAAUUAGAAAUCUAUGUACUAUCAGAUUUAUAUCAGGUAAUGGUAUUUGUUGAAAAACUCAAAACCCAAGUUACAGAACUUCCCUUUUGUCACUACUCGAUUGUAGGUGAAGCUUGCAGUUCAAGCUGUAGGUGAAGCUUGAAGUUUGCACUCAAGAUUUCAUCAUAAUUGGAACACAGAAAAUGCAACCACGAAUUAAUUAUAGAAAAGUAUGGAUCUAAGACUACAAAGUAAGUUCUAUACUAAAUUAUAUAGGAGGACAUAUCCUGUGCAAUCACUCAUUUUGGUGCAAGCGCGCAAUUAAACUAUCCAGAGCAUCCAGUCUAUAUCCAACGGUUUCAUAUGGAAGUGGUUAAAUGUAAAAUAGACAUUAGGUUUCAGGUGGAAGGGGUUAAAUGUAAAAUAACAGUUACCAUUAGAUCUAGAUCGGAUGCACCAGAUCGCUUGAUUGCAUGCUUGCACCAGGAUAAGUGAUUGCAUAUGAUAUUUUCCCAUUAUAUAGUUUCUUAUGUAGAUUUACUCGUAUAGAGUUUAAUAAAAUUUUGAUGCUCGUUGGAUAAUAUAUGACCGAGUUAUAGAUUUAUCUAGAUAAGUUAUACAUGGUCCAAUAAAUAUGAAUUUUUAUGUAUAGUCAAAACAUGCAAUGAUUUGUUCACCAUAUUUUUACCACAUCUGGAUCAUAAAAACUGCAGCUAUAAAUUAAUUAUAGAAAACACAUAUACAAGCUUAUAGAUUAAAUUUUAUAAUAAAAUAUAUUAUAUCAUAUAUUCAUUAUACAUAUAUAUAUUCAUGUGGAGUUCUAUAAAAUUGAUUCUUUAUUUUAUGUUUUUACGUGAUUUAUUUUAUUUUAUAAAAAUUAUUUAGUCAAAAUAAACAUAAAAGAAAAAGAGAACGAAGGAACGUCUAGAGAUGUCAUGUGUUCGGUUUUUAGCGAUGAGAGAGGAUAUAUGUCCGGUUUUAUAAUUAAAAUAGAAAAACUGAUUUUUUAUGAAAGUUGUGCACGAUAAAAUAGUUUUUUUAAAAAUUAAUUUUUAUGUACUGUAGUACGUUAUUCCGGCGCAUCGUAUUUUUAGAAGAAAAGUGCAAGAGGAAAGAGGGCCCAAGUGAUUCCGUUCCAUCCGCAUGCAUCGCGGCCCAUCGCGGCCCAGCCCAUGACCUCUCCUCACCUUGGCGCUCGACGCUCGUUAGGCAUCCCGGGCCCGGGGCGGGUCUUUUUGCGCAGAAACCCCUUUACAAUCGCAUAAGAAAACUGUGGGCACUCUCGUCAUUGCGCACAGCGCCUGCUGCAUCCUCCUGGUCUCGACACGGAGCCCCAUUCCCACCCAUGCCAAUGACACGUGGGCCCAUCCUCCCGCAGCCCACGACAUCAGAAGCCGCGUAAGAGGAUAGGAGGUGUGCUUAGCGACCUGUCCUUUUCCCUCAUCUUAUUUUCAUCGCUCCCGAAGAAAUUUGCUCUAAAUAACAAAACAUAGGGCAAGAGCCUAGACUGAGGGGCCAGGAGAGAGGGAGAGGCCGAGGAGAGAGAUAGAGAGACAAAGGGGAGAGACCAAGCGCCAGUGACACAGAGAAGGGGCGGAGGAGAGAGAGAGAGAGAGAGAGAGAGAGAGAGAGAGAGAGAGAGAGAGAGAGAGAGGAGAAUCGCGGGAGGGAGGCGGGGUUUUUGCGUGAUUUGAGUUCUCCGGUUUUCCCCACGCUCCCGCCAUGGUGUCCGACCAGGAGAUCGCCAGCUGCGUCGAGUCCGUCCUCCGAGGCUCCGCCGGCGGGCCCGGGGAGGUCUCGCUCACCGCCGUGCUGCAGCAGGCGGAGGCCACGCUCGGCGUCGACCUCUCCCACAAGGCGGGCUUUAUCCGCGACCAGAUGGACCUCUUCUUCGGCCCGCGCCUCCAGCCGCAGCCGCUGACCACGCCACAGCUGGCGCCUCCCCCGCCUCAGGCCGUCGUUGCCCCCGCGGACGCCGUGCCUCAGCCUCAGCCUCAGCAUCAGGUUCUGCCGCAGGCACCGCCUUCGGCUCAGCAGAUGCAGCCGCAGCAGCUCGCGCCGCUUCAGCCGCAGCUCAUGUUCCAGACCAUUCACCAGCUCCCCGCCAUCUCUCCCGUCCCUGUGGUCUCCGCGCCGCCGGCCAUGGCGUUCUACCCGCCGCCGCCGCUCGCCUUCCGCUACACCACCGGCCUCGCUGGGGCCGCCACGGGUGGGACCGUCUCCUUCCAGCAGCCAGCCCCUGGGGCUGGGGGCACUGCUUCCCCCACCGCUGCACCGCAGGUCGCCGGCGACAACAAGGAAAGGUGAGUUGUCGAUGGAAUUAGGGUUUGCGUUCCGCGGAUUUUGGUGAUUUGUAUGUACUCUGUCGAUUGGUGCGGAAAUCUAGUCCGUCGAUUCGCAUGGUUAGGGUUGUUAAUAUUGAGGAUUCGAGUUCUAUAUUGUGAUGAAAUGGUUUUGUUCUGCUUCUGGCUAAGCUAAGGUUAGGGUUUCGGGUUCUGAUUUCUGACCUUCUUAUUGGUUGUGUCAGGUUCAGUUCAACUGGUUCCUAUGUACUGUAGUGUUCAGGAUAUGUUAACUUAGGACGACAUUUUCUGCCCCUUUAACUUUAAGUAAUGGAUCAGUAACUGUUUAAAUUGUAGUUUUGUUGUCAACAUCUUUCAACUCAACGGUAUUGGUCAAAGAGAAGAAUUCAGACGUCAUUCUGUUGACAGCCUGUAGCCUAUUACCAUGCAUAUUUUGUGCUUCCAAAAAUAUUUUUUGGAAAACAGAAAAAGGCCAAUUUUCUCUAUACACUUAUAAGCUACAAAAAUUGCAGAUUAGUAGUUUACUAAAAAGGUACAAUCAGCCAAGCACAGGAAGCAUGUUGUGUUUCAUGAAUUUGUUUGGAUUUAUAACACCUCUUUCCGCUUCCUGAGAACAAUUAUAAUUGACCAUUUUCUUGUUUGUUUGAAUCUUAUUUGUGGCUUGUCUCUGCAUGAAAUGGUCCCAGUAGACAGCUCAAGUCAUCUGCAGACAUUUAUAGUGCCCCCGUGCAAAAAAUAAACUAAAAUAAAAAACAAAAUGUAACUGUUAAGUACUCUACUUCAGUUUUCAUAUGUAUUAUUUGCAACUGACAUCUUCAUCCUUAACACUUAAUUUUUUUAGUAAGAGUCAUUUUCUUCUCUGAUUUGAUGUGGUUGCAUGCACCUUUUGCACCAAUGUUCUUUGAGAUGUAUUGGCUAAGGUUGUGCAACCUGUCGCACAGUACUACGGGAACAGGACAGCAGGUCCUGAAAUUAGUCUGUUUUGUGUGGAGAGUAAAGAAGGUUAGGCUUGACACAGUGUUGAGAAACUUCUCCACUUAGCCAAAGGUCCUGGGUUUGAUGUAGCCUCACUGCAAAAAUGCAGGGGUAAUGUUUGCCUCGGUUAUUCCUUCUCCAGACUCCACUCAUAUAGGAGCCGCCAACACUGGGUCUGUUCUUUGGAGUAUGUUGAGGACUAUUGUAUUUGACCAACAUUCCUUUAUUGGUUGUUCUGUUUCGCUGGUCACGAUUGCUCAUCUGUUUCUGAAACCUAACUCACUACUCAGCAUGUCAACUGAUUUGUAUUCUACUAUAGUAUCUUGGUUCGUUUCCUUUUAUGAAACUGACUGAUUAGUGAUUUGUGUGUGAUUUCUUCUAGUUCUUCUAAGCGAAAAAGAGGUGGACCUGGUGGUUUAAAUAAAGUUUGCGCAAUUUCACCUGAACUUCAGACCAUUGUUGGUGAGACUGCCAUGUCAAGAACUCAGGUACUAAAUUUCAUUGUGAUAGAAAUUUACACACUCUGUACUCUUCUGGUACUCUUUGAAUGAUUGACUCUAUAGAGUCUAGAAAAUAAAUAUUAGUCUUUAUUCAGAUUGUGAAGCAGCUCUGGGCAUAUAUCAGGCAGAACAAUCUUCAAGAUCCUGAUGACAAAAGGAAGAUUAUUUGCAAUGACGAACUUCGUGUGGUUUUUGAAACUGACAACACCGACAUGUUUAAAAUGAAUAAAUUAUUGGCUAAGCACAUAACCCCACUUGACCCAAGUACAGACUUCUAUUUCUUUUGAUCAACAUAUGCUACUUUAUGUUUGCAUUACUAAAGUUCAGUCCUGGAAUUUGCUCAAGUGCUUCCUAAUGACAUUGCAGAAGGUCAACUUCAUGAAGUAAAAAGAAUGAAGGCUCCCACCAUGUCUCCUCAACCUGGACGUUCCAUUGAUCAACCCUCCAUAGUUAUUUCUGACGCACUAGCAAAGUUCAUUGGAACAGAUGGAACAUUUCCUCACGAUUUUGCCCUGAAAUAUCUGUGGGAUUACAUAAAAGCAAACCAACUUGAGGUAUGGUUAGGUUAGGUCCUACCUUUUAGUUUGCAGAAUAACCCUGCCAUGUGUUCUUGGUUUUGCUGCAAGCCUGUAGCGAAUAUCAAGAAUUGAAGUGCAAAUUCACCUUUUGUUUUCUAGAGGUGCAUUGAAUGCAUGCACUGCAGUCCAUUCAAUUUUUGGUAACAAAUUUUCAUUAAUGUUCAGAAGUAGUAUGACAGUAAAAAAGUGAAGAACAACCGGGUAGACUCAAUAGUCAGCAACUUCGUGUUAAUGCUACAAACUUGGACUUAUCCCCUUUUUGGUUAAUUGUUUGGCUAUACUUUUGUGAACCUAUGUCACUGCUGUCUGGCCAAGAGGACUCGGUUGUCAGGAUAACUAGGUAGGAAUGUUCUUAGUGUGAAUAUUUUAUUGUAGGCUGCAAUGGCUGAUGCAGAGCGUUGUGGGUGGCAUUGUGUAGAUAUUUGUUUAUUGGACUAGGUAUUUGUUUGUUGAAACAUAUUAAUUCAGAUAUCCUGGAAUCUGAUUGAGGUUAGGACACUAACAGUUAAAAAAGUUCUGCACAUAUUUGCGCUAACAGUUAAAAAAAGUCAUUUUGAUUAUGAAGUGUGGAUUCACUGUGAGCUGUGAAAUUUAUGGCUUAAUACACCACAAAUAUUAAUUGCUCUGUUUGGUAAUGCAUAGGAUGUCAUCAACGAAUCAAUAUUAUGCGAUUCAAAACUUCAAGAGCUCUUUGGCUGUGAGAGCAUUCCUAUGUCAGGACUAUCAGAAAUGCUUGGUCACCACUUCAUCAAGAAAACAUAGCAAAUCCUCAUUAACUGGUCAGUUUCUGGCUGUAUCUCCUCUUUCUAGUGUCACAUUUGCUGAUUUCUGUCUAGAUAUUAGGUGUAAUAGUAUUUUCCCUAAAUUACUUUCAUGAUAGCACAUUGUUACACGUCAGUAAACUAUUUUCUACCUGCUCAUUUGAACCAGAGUUCGGUGCGUAAGGUUUUGUGCUUUGUCUUAUUCUGAUUUCAUACCUUGCGUGCAGAUCUAGGAUUGCAGUGUGGCAGAUAGGCCUAACAUUACAACAUGGUGUUCUUUACAGAAUGGACAGCAUAGUUUAUGUAUUUCUUCAAUUUUGUUGAUUAUGAAUUGUGUCCGGCACAUAUCAGAUUAUUUGCGGUAAGCCUGUACAUUGUUAUGCGUGCUGGCUACUGCUGUGUUGUCUGGUGUAAGUGUGUAACCUUCUCUACUGAAUUCGUAGUGCUAAUUCCUAAAUGUCAUUGCUGACUAUGUAAAGUUAAGCUUUCUAUUCGAGUGUCAGAUUGUUACUCUUAAGUCUUAAAAGUCAUAAGUUUUUCUUUGACUAAUAUUUUAAUGUUGAGGAAAUCCGACUAAAGUAGUUCACUUCCGACCAGUCUAAGUGGAGUACAAAUGUACAAUGGCUGUGGUGGACUGCUGGUGGUCUCUUCUUCCAGAAGAAAUUUCCAUUGUAUUUGUCGUUGUCCUCUUCGCUUUUAUGGAAGGUGGUGGUGCGCCUAUGGGACUUGAUUAACUUUAUUACCUGAGGGGUAGCUGAAAUGCCAAAGUAAAAAAGAAUGUCGGUUGGUUAGAUGGUCUAACUAGCACUUUCUUAGAUCUGGGUUCGAUUUUCUGUGUGAGCGAAUUCUAGGCUGAGAUUACUGUGUUGCACAUGUUCUACAAUGUUGAUGAGUAUGGGUGGAAUAUAGAUUCAGUUUUUUUAACCUGCAUCGUAGAAAGUAUUUUUUUCAAUAUAAUAUUUGGGACUCUUUUAGCCUGAUAGGUUGAGUUUUUUUAAAGGAAUGGCUGUUGGACACUUAUUGCAGCGUUAUUCCAGUUUUCAGAGCUCUGUACGUGUACCUUGACAGGCCAAACACGACGUUCAUGGAGUCGCCAUAUGGAUCCUGUUGCAUUCAUGUUCAUGGAACCUUGUCCUAAAUCACCGUGGGCAAAUAUGCAUGCACCAGUAGUCUGGUUACUUGCCCAAUGCGAAAUGCGAAGAUGAAAAAAGUUUAAUGUUUUUUCUUUGUACAACAAAAGUUUCAGCAAACAAGAAAUCAUUAAGACAUAAAGCUCAGUAAUUUGCAAUUUCCAUAAGGACAGUUGGAGCAGCCAAGUGGGACUGUUUGGACCGAAAAUCUUUAGGUACACGAAAAAAAUGCGUUAAAGGAACGAAAACAGUGGAAAGGGAAAAAUGCAUGAAAGGAAUAGGAGGGGAGGUUUGGAACAUAGAAAUUUGUAGCACAGGAAUUGCAAAGCGUAUGAUUUAUACACGUAAGUGUAGUGACAAAAGCAAGGAGAGAAGAAAGACGGAAAUAAUAGUGAGAGGUCUUAGUUUAGUUUUAGUAAUUAAUAACAGUGCUAUAUAACUAACAUAGGUUUUGUAGAGAUAAAAUAAGUUCGUUCAUAAUAAUGCAGGAUAAUUGAGCUUCUAUUCAUGUCCUUGUUGAUGUAGAUCAACGACCGUUUUUUUUAAAAAAAAUGAUAAAAAGGUUAAAGAUUAGAUAGUUCUAAGUAUCAAUGUAGUUGUUAGACAUUUAGACUGUGAUAGAACUUUUGUCUUGCUUUUAACUCCUGUCCUACAGUAAGGCAGCCUUUGACGGCGAUGCCACAAGGAAUGACUGUUGGAUCUCAGACGAAAAUUACGCUUUCAACUCAAGUUUUUUUUGUCUUUGAUAUUAUAUUUAGUUAUAAUAAAUAUACAUUAAUCAGUUCAACCAAAAAGUUAAGAUGGUGGAUGGUGGAGAGAGUGCAUUCUAAGAGCAUCUCUAAGAAACUCUUUAUUUUUGACUCUUUAUUUGUCUCUACAUAAAUAUUAAACUGUAUAUAUAACAUCACAUUCCAACAGACUUUUUAACAUGCAAGUUAGCUUGACUAGCGAGAGUUGCUAGCCAAAUUUAGCUAGUGAAGGAGUCAAUUUAGAGAGCCGGAUAGCUUGACAAGUUAAAUGGCUAGUCUGUUGAAGAACUAUUUUACUGUUAAGUAACUAAAAUUUACCUUGACAAACUAUUUAGCUAGUCUCUUAAAGAUGCACUAACCGGAUUUACGGAUUUACUUCACGGCAAAAAACGAGAUCCAACCUCUAUAAGAGACCUGAUGGUUUUUUAUUAAAAAUAAAUAAGCAAAAAUAGACACUCACAUUCUAAAGUUCAGAGAGAACUUUUAAAACUAAGUGGUUAGGCUAGGUGCACGAUCACACCUUCCAAUCAACGACAUAAGUGGACGACGAGGAUCGUCCCUUGCCUGCAUCCCCAACAAUUUAGUUUCCUUUUUUUCCCUCCAAAACACUCGUCGUCGUCGUCCCAAACAUUGUAGGCAUCAUCUUCCAUGGAUAGCUACGAUGGCAUUUGUAGUCAAACCCUACAAUUACAAUGCCGACAAGCCAGCUGAAGCCUGGAGGCUGGAGGCGACAGGCUAGCUUAUCUUCGACUGGAAUCCGCCGUCGCGGUAGCCGACGCUGGCGCUGGACACGGCCGCCAGUAGCUGCACGUCGUCGAACGCGUCCUCCACCUCCACCUCCUCCUCCUGCUCGCCGGCGCCGAUGAAGGCGACGUCGGCGCCCUGCGGCGGCCCCAUCACGGUCCUGCUCGUCUUCAUCUGCUCCUCGAACAUCUUCUGCAGCUUCUUGCCUUGCGCCUCGAUCCUCAGCUGCAGAUUCCUCUGGAUCUGCAAGACACGUCACCCGGGAAAAAAAAAGCGUCACUACAUGCAGCCCACGAACACACGUCAAAUCUUGCCUAUCUGAUCUAAGCUAGGGUUCUUUAUCGACGCCAAGUGUUCGAUGCGUAGAUCGACGGAGCACACCUCGAGCUGCUCGUGGAGGCGCCUCUGCACGUCGAGCUGGACGCGUAGCGCUUCCGUGAUCUUCAUCCCGCUGCAGAUUAAGAAGGAAGAAGGCGCGUGAGCGCUGUUAGCUAGCUGGCGGUGCACAUCACAUGGCUGCCAUGAGGGUUCGUGUGCAGUGUCACAAGGUAGACGACGACAGUUAUUACGUACGUGCCGGGGUCGAGAUUCUGCACGUCAUUGGCGGCAGCAGCUCGUUUCUCUUUCCCUGCAAUUCGACAACGGCCGGGAUGGGAUGGCAGCAAAGACGUGUGUCAGUCAGCAUCGCGCAUGGCAUAUAACGGCCAUGGGAUGGAUAAGGCUUGAGUUGACGUGUUCGUAGAAUAGCAUAUUGUACUAGUGUACUGUUCUAAAUUCUUGGUGGAUUGGACUGAAUUAGAUUAGAUUUGAUUUGAUUACCUUCGGACGUCGAUGACACGGGCAUGUACUUGGCUAUGCGGUAUUUCUGAAAUCGAGAGAGGAGGAUAUUAGAUUGUUAUUAGGCCGUCCUACAAAUUCGCGUCAAAAAGACAGACAUCAUGUAUCCAAAUUUGAAUUUUUUUUCACUCCUGGCGAGUUAAGAAAAGGUGCCCUUUUUAAUUUACAAAAGGAAAAAAAAUCUGUGUACCUGAAGGUGGCUCUUGAUGUGGUAGAUUGUGAGGCCAUCAGAGUUCAUCAGCUUCAGAAUGCCCUUGGGAGUCGCCUCUGCAAGCAAGUGUCACGCAACAACAAGAGAAGACUACAUGACUCUAUGAGAGAGAGAGAGAGAGAUCCGUAGCCUAACAUUCGAUUAAGCAAAGCAGACAGAUAAACCAAGAACUCUUGAAGAGAAAGGAAAAAAAAAAGGAGUUUCGGAUCAAGGACGAUGCUCACUGUCCGCGCCGCCGAGCUUGUUGACGCAGUCGACGAAGCGCUCGUGGAGGUCCUGCGUCCACCGAAUCCGCGUCUUGCUGGGAGCACCUUGCCCCGGCGCGGCGGCGUUACCGCUCCCUGCGUGGGUCGCCGCCGCACCGAUGAUACUGCAGCUCCUGGACAGCGGGUUGUCCAUAAGGCUCUGCAUGCCCGGCGGCGCCUCCAUCGCGGGGACAAACGUGCUCGCCGGAACCUGCUUCAGGGUCUAGCCAGACAAGAACCGCUAUCAAAACACGAUCAUGGCAUGGCAUGCUUAGUUAGGAGAACGGCAACUCUAUCAGUGAAUCAUUCCCACGCGUUCGCUUACGUGAGCUGGAAAGGAGUGAGCUUGAGGCUCGCCGCCGCCGAGUAGCCUGCCGGUGGAAGGGUCGCCGAAUAGCCCGUGCACUUGUUGCUGCUGCCGCCGCUGGAAUGGCAGCUCGAGUGAAGGAGGCGCCUCCGUGGCGCCGUCGCGCUGCUGCGGCCGGACGUAGUACGUCCUCACCGCCGCGCAGUCGCGGAGCGGCAGCGGGUCCACUGGGUACAGCCGCUCGCGCUCGCGCUCGCCCCCCGUCGUGGGCCUCGGCCGGCCAAACGGCGGUCCCUUGGCAAACGCUGUCAGCUCCUGGAGUGCCGUCGUCGUUCCGCCGAGAGGGGAGUCGAACCGCGCCGUGCCCAUCAUGAGCUCCUCGGCGGCGAAGAACGCGGCGGCGUCGGAGCCGACGACGCAGCCGCCCUGCCCCUGCGCCGCCCUCGGGGUCGUCGCGGUGUGCUCCUCGUGCACCCAGCCGCCGCCGCCGCCGCCAUGCCGCUGCGGCAGGGAGCCCACGAGCCCCGGCCCCGGGUGCAAGGAGAGCCCUGCGGUGGUGGCGGCGGCGGCGCGCGGGAACAGCUGUGGGUCACACAUCGGCGAUCCGUAGCAGUGGUGAUAGUCGUGCAGCUUAAUCUUCUUGGCGUUCAUCGAUCAUCUAGCGAUUACGACGUCUCGGGACUGAAACUGGACAACCAAACAGAGAACGAGACGACCACAAACAGCUUGUCAAACUGCUUCAAGAAGAGCUCGAACGAACGCGUCAAACAGUUCAUCGUAGACACACACACACACAACGCGGCUUAUUUUCAGCAUCCUGUGAGUGAGACCUCAAACAGACGGUUGUAAUAGGGAAGCAACUAAUCAGUUCCGAACAGGAGAGGAGCAGGAUUAGCGCAGUGGAUGAUGCUUAAAUAGGGCCGGCCGGGGAUGCACAUGCUAGCUCCACUUCCAUCCAAAUUCCAAUCCGGAGGGAAUUCUCACGCUGGGUUCUAGUGGCCGAAUAAGAUCCUGCGCCGGUCCAUAGUAGUAUCCCUGGCGCACGGCGUGAUGAGAAUGGGAAUAAUUCGACGGCGGCGAGUGCCUCCGGACUCCGGAGCGCGUACGCCGCAGCCGCCGGAGGAGGAGGAUGCGGCAAGGACACGGCAGCGCGAGCAAGUAGGAGGAGGAAGGAACGGUGCAGACGCGUCGGCAGACGUGGUUAGAGCAACUUACAGCUUGCAUUGAAGGCAUCGGCCUGAUGGAGUGAUGGGAGCCCAAGGCCCAAGCCAAGCAGGUGACAGAGAAUGAUAAGAUGCAAAGAUGAUCCACCUGGUAACAGUAUAUAAAAGUGCAGGCUUCCAUGUCGGACAGGAGGCUAGGGGACAAACGCAGGCUUUGAUGCUUUCACCCCCUCUCUUUCUAGCCUGGCAAGUUGCCAUUGGUCUCAUUCACGGCCUCCAUUUGUAGCUGGAUUAAUUUCGAGCUUGCAAAAUCACAGUAGAGAUCAGGAGGCUAGGGGACAAACUUGUGCUGGUACAUAUCCAAGUGAUGCAGGUUCCAGGGGGGUCGUCCAUAUCCUUUUUACGUUGAAUCCAAUUGCUAUACUAUUACUAUACCAGACCACACACUUGUGUAUGGGAACCAUUCUCCAUUGGGGGGGGGGGGGGGGGGGGGGGGUCUGACUGUCACUGAGCAGCCGUUAAAAAGAACUGUCUCUUCGGAAUCUCCAUGGUCAGAAACGAGAACAACGAGAAUCUCCAUGGAAAACUCAUUGGUCGUCGUCUCGUCUGUCUGUGUAUCCGAAUGUAGAAGGCGACGCAGCAAGUGGACGGUGAAACUUAUGCGUAUAAUGGGAUUGCAGAUUUGCACACGCGCAAGACAGGCGUGCCAACGUGGAAAGGAUUAAUUGGUCGACAAUCUUAUCUGGAUGCAUGUGUCUGUACAAAUAUAUAUAGUAUAGGCUUGGUGCCUCGCCUGUUGGUGGUGCUAGCUGCUCCAUCGGCCUUUGAAUGCCUCAAGAGCCACUCACGCCCGGCGCUCCCAACUCCAAUCCUGUUCUUUAUCGAUUCCUCGUCGGAUUCGUCCAUGUGUCCAGUGUCAACCAAAGCAAAAGUACAAAACCCACGUCGGAAUAAGUCUACCCUAGUAGAUACUUUAAGAUAGAUCAAAAAGACUAUGAAGCUAUUCAUUUGUGGUUAGCAUGAUCCCUUGUAUUUUAAAGGGGGAUUGCCUGCAUGCAGAAUACUCUUCAGGGUUCAGCUAGAUCCCU